GGGGUAGGGGGGUAUUUUGUUGGAGAUUCCUGUAUAUCUAUGGUCUUUUGAGGAUGGGAUAUAAUUUUCAGAAGUCAUCUGUGCUGUAAUUGUUACUUGCCACUGAGUUGCCUGAUACUACUGCCUCAACUUUGCCCUUCAUAAGGUUAAGGUUCUUCUUGUUUCACUGAACAGCAGCAGAAACCCACUUGUCUCAGAAGACUGGCUGGUUACGGUGGUUCGUCUGGAGGAGGGAUAACUGCUGAAGGAUCGGGACUCUUUAGGAGAAAUUCUCAACAGGAAUCCAAGGCAGGGAACAUAUGUUGCAAUGGCUGUUCUAAUGGACAGGAGUGUUCUUUGGGGAAAACAAAACAUUGCUAAAUUCUCUCCUCAGCUGAGCUGACACAUUCUGUUCUGGAAUUAGGGAACACAAUAAUGGGCUGGAGUUUUGAAUGAUGAGUUCAUUCUAACUUACUGACUGAAACCGGUGACUCAUAGGAAACAAAUUAAUGUCACUGAGAUGGAUGCAAAUGAGGAAUAAUAACAGGAACUCUCUUUGCUACAAGUGGCAAUGAUCAAGUGUGUGUUCCAAUUUGCAAACAAAAAACUUACAAAAGGAAAUUGUAUCGUUGUUACUAAAUGCCACUCCUAGCAGAAUCCCCAGUGAAGAUACUAAAGUCUGAAUGGACAGUGGAGACAAUAUCCGGUGCCAUUUGCACAUCUAGAAUACAGUGAAGACCUACUGAAGAUGUACUUCAACAAAAUAUUCAGGCUGUAUUCCUCUAUUAUAUGAAUGAAGACAUUUAAAUUGCCACCACUUUUACACAGCACCUUUGGGGAAGAAAAAUGUCAUGAGAAAAAAUACAAAUAUAUUUUAUUCUUAUAUCGUUCAGUUUGGCUCAACAGAAGUAGGUAUGGGAUAAUAGGCAAGUUCAUCAUUCAUAAGUUUUGGCCUUUAUUUUAUUUACUGUUCUUUGUACAAUAACUAAUUAGUUCAAGGAAAAAUGCCAGUGUCAUUUCAGUUGCUUAUAUUUUUUCUUCAGGUUGAGGUCUUCAGUUUCAAUAUAUAUUUUAUCAAUUUUCCUAAAACAGGUUUUUGAGGCUUAAUAUGCAAGCCAUUCAUUUACUCAUCUCUUAUAAAUGUAACAGUCCAGUUUUUAGUCCAAUGUUAUAAGGGAAAAAAAAUUUGUAUUCCAUUUCACUUACUCCAU
This is a non-coding RNA of Meleagris gallopavo (turkey), 1190 nucleotides long. NCBI's taxonomy places the organism in Eukaryota, Metazoa, Chordata, Aves, Galliformes, Phasianidae. The record is from RefSeq and is a predicted model, not a curated record.